Paenibacillus popilliae ATCC 14706 is the source of this 143-nucleotide non-coding RNA. NCBI's taxonomy places the organism in Bacteria, Bacillati, Bacillota, Bacilli, Caryophanales, Paenibacillaceae. The record is from Rfam.
UAGCCGGUGAAGAUCCGGUCGCGGGAGGGGCCAAGCCUCCGCGUAGCUUGGAUACCUGCGUACGGUGAAAUCCGUGCGUAGAAGCGUAUCGAUAAAAGUACCUAUUAGAGACAGGGCGAGCAACCUGCCAGGCCGUAACAUGA